This 497-nucleotide ribosomal RNA is filed under the name uncultured bacterium. Its description in RNAcentral is "partial 16S ribosomal RNA". It matches the Rfam family "Bacterial small subunit ribosomal RNA", at positions 28 to 507 of the family's 1533-position model. The record is from RNAcentral.
GACGAACGCUGGCGGCGUGUCUAAUACAUGCAAGUAGAACGCUGAAGAGAGGAGCUUACUCUUCUUGGAUGAGUUGCGAACGGGUGAGUAACGCGUAGGUAACCUGCCUUGUAGCGGGGGAUAACUAUUGGAAACGAUAGCUAAUACCGCAUAACAAUGGAUGACACAUGUCAUUUAUUUGAAAGGGGCAAUUGCUCCACUACAAGAUGGACCUGCGUUGUAUUAGCUAGUAGGUGAGGUAAUGGCUCACCUAGGCGACGAUACAUAGCCGACCUGAGAGGGUGAUCGGCCACACUGGGACUGAGACACGGCCCAGACUCCUACGGGAGGCAGCAGUAGGGAAUCUUCGGCAAUGGGGGCAACCCUGACCGAGCAACGCCGCGUGAGUGAAGAAGGUUUUCGGAUCGUAAAGCUCUGUUGUAAGUCAAGAACGGGUGUGAGAGUGGAAAGUUCACACUGUGACGGUAGCUUACCAGAAAGGGACGGCUAACUACGUG